Molecule: transfer RNA, 76 nt
Filed under: Advenella mandrilli
Lineage: Bacteria; Pseudomonadati; Pseudomonadota; Betaproteobacteria; Burkholderiales; Alcaligenaceae
Description: Advenella sp. WQ 585 tRNA-Lys
Rfam family: tRNA
About the family: Transfer RNA (tRNA) molecules are approximately 80 nucleotides in length.
Source: RNAcentral
GGGCUGGUAGCUCAGUUGGUAGAGUAGCAGACUCUUAAUCUGUCGGUCCAGGGUUCGAUUCCCUGUCAACCCACCA